UCAGGACAGCCAAACUGUGCGUUGCAUCUGGUUGGGUCUUUCGGAGCAAGUGCUAUGAGAGUUUUCUACUCUUCCUCCAGAGGCAGAUAGGUGUGCUUCUACCCCUCCCCAGCAAGUGGUGAAUCUCUGCCUGUUCUCCAGAAAUGGGAGGGUUUCCUCUUCUAGCAACUUAAGGCUUAUACCUCUUAUGAGACGAAGAUCUGGGAAAUGGACAGGGUUUUGUUUCUGCCCCCCAGUGGCAGCUGAUUACUUCUGGCAUGCCUGCACCACUAAAUGUGGCUGUCUCUAGUUUUCUGCCCUGCCCCCUAUAUUUCUUGUGUGUAUCCAGUGGAGACUCAUGGAUAAGAGCUUGAGUACAGACUUCCCAUUGAGUGUGGAACUCCAGAAUAUUCUGAACUGUCAUGAUAGUCUACACUUGGCCUUUAUGAAUUUGUUAAAAGUUUCUGCUUUCUUCUCAUCCACUUUUAUGAUGGCAGCUUUUGGAUUCUGCUGAAGGUGAAACCGUUUGUUCGAACUAUCUCUCCUUAAAGGGGCUCAUCACUCUUCGGAAUUCAUUCUACCUCUUUUCCUGGAAAACUCAGCUCUUUGAUGGGCUCAAAAAAGUUAUCAUUUUGCAGAUUUACCUGCCUUUUUCUCAUUGUUAUGGUAGGAGUGACAUUCUCUUGUGGCUUUCUACAAACUGAAUAGAAAUAGAUCUCCUAGGGAAGGUGGAAGGCUUUUCAUUCAAAAAAUCUAUUUCUUUAGUAGAUACAGGAACAUUAAAAUUGUCUUCUUCAUCUUUGGGGACUGUGGCUGUCAGUGGAGUAACGAGAAAGAGGAACAAAGAUGGGAAAAGACCAGCAGCUAUUUGUGAGGCUGUGGCCAUUCCUGCCUCCACCCCCAGACCACCUGCUGAAGGGAGAGAUGUUAAAAAGAACCACGUUUUCCAUUCCUCAAAGCCAAACAAACACAGAGAGUCGGCUGAGCCUCUCUAAAUCAGUGACUGCCAGGGGAGUAAAAUGCUGAACCCACCAAAAGGCCACAUCUGCGAAAUAAAUCCAUGUCCUGAGAGUCAAAUCAAAACAGAUGUGGUCCCACAGCAGGGACCCCUCCCAUGGAGAGACACAUCUACCUCGGUCCUACCCAGGGCCCUUUCUCGUUGAGAGAUCUGGCCAGGUUAUGAAAACCAUUUACUUCCAUGGUGACUCUUCUUCAGUGAUGCUGGCUGGAGCCCAGCCCUCCUCAGGUCACUUAACCACACCAUCUUAGGGAGCCCAGCCCACUCUCAGCCUAAAGCCAUCAGUGAAAGUGCAAACUCAGGGACUGCAGUCAGUUAGACUCAACAGCUCUCAUCCCCCAGGUCCUGUCCACAGGCUCAGCGCGCUAUGUCCUGCCCUGCCCACGCUGGGGUCAAGAAAGGAAGUUUUGCUCAUCUUCCAAGGCCCAGCUCAGCCGCCCCCUUCUCCAGAGGCUUCCUCCUUCUCCAAGGACAGAUCUGCUACUUAUUUGCCUCUUCCCACAAUACUUUUUUGAAAAUCUUUUCCACAGAGAGCCCCAGGGAUCCACUCGCUGGCCUCAAGGAUUUGUGAAUUCCUAAAAUGUUGUGUGGAUUUUCGUAUAUGAGCAUCUGUAUGUUUUUAUCUAAGGAGAAAACAACGGAUAGCUUUAUCAGGUUCUUAAAGAGGUCUAUGUCCUAAAAACAUUUAAUAUAAAUAUGAAUAUGACUCUACUACAGUAUAA
RNAcentral lists this long non-coding RNA (1719 nucleotides) under Homo sapiens (human). RNAcentral's name for it is "HSALNT0298920". Lineage: Eukaryota; Metazoa; Chordata; Mammalia; Primates; Hominidae. The record is from RNAcentral.